ACAAAUCAACUAUAAUCAUGAAUAUCAUCAGGCUGACUCUGGUGGCUGUGAUGCCGACCCUACUGCUUCUUUUUUCUCUGAUGAUGAGAUUCAGGAAGAGGAAAACUCUGAGCUCCACCACUGAACCAAAUGAACCCAAAGAGACUCUGGAGUUGGAGUCUGGUCCUGAUAUCAGCGUCUCAGCCUUGAUCACUGUCACUGCAGCACAGACAGAAGACGCAGAGGAACAGGAACACUGAGUGUGAAGAUGCAGUCAAACCAGAGGGAGACUCAAUACUUUGCUAUGUAUUGCAUGUAUGGAAGUUUAAACAUCAUGGCAGUUCCCUCUCACUGCUGCAGAGGGCG
Molecule: long non-coding RNA, 345 nt
Organism: Epinephelus fuscoguttatus (brown-marbled grouper)
Lineage: Eukaryota; Metazoa; Chordata; Actinopteri; Perciformes; Serranidae
Exons: 4
Source: RefSeq, a predicted model, not a curated record